GAUGAACGCUGGCGGCGUGCUUAACACAUGCAAGUCGAACGGGAAACUUUUCAUUGAAGCUUCGGCAGAUUUGGUCUGUUUCUAGUGGCGGACGGGUGAGUAACGCGUGGUUAACCUGCCUUAUACAGGGGGAUAACAACCAGAAAUGGUUGCCAAUACCUCAUACGCGCACAGGAUCGCAUGGUCCGGCGUGAAAAACUCCGGUGGUAUAAGAUGGACCCGCGUGGGAUUAGCUAGCUGGCAGGGUAACGGCCUACCAAGGGAACGAUGCAUAGCCGGCCUGAGAGGGUGAACGGCCACAUUGGGACUGAGACACGGCGCAGACUCCUACGGGAGGCAGCAGUGGGGAAUAUUGCACAAUGGGGGAAACCCUGAUGCAGCGACGCCGCGUGAAGGAAGAAGUAUCUCGGUAUGUAAACUUCUAUCAGCAGGGAAGAUAGUGACGGUACCUGACUAAGAAGCCCCGGCUAACUACGUGCCAGCCGCCGCCGUAA
Molecule: ribosomal RNA, 494 nt
Filed under: uncultured bacterium
Lineage: Bacteria
Description: partial 16S ribosomal RNA
Rfam family: Bacterial small subunit ribosomal RNA
Source: RNAcentral